GACAGAGGGGGCAGGCGUUGCUCGGAAUCACUGGGCGUAAAGGGCGCGUAGGCGGGAUGGCAAGUCGGUCGUGAAAUCCCUCGGCUCAACCGAGGAGCGUCGGCCGAUACUGCCGUUCUUGAGGGAUGCAGAGGAGACUGGAAUUCCCGGUGUAGCGGUGAAAUGCGUAGAGAUCAUGAGGAAGACCAGUGGCGAAGGCGGGUCUCUGGACAGUUCCUGACACUGAGGCACGAAGGCCAGGGGAGCAAACGGG
RNAcentral lists this ribosomal RNA (253 nucleotides) under uncultured prokaryote. RNAcentral describes it as "partial 16S ribosomal RNA". It matches the Rfam family "Bacterial small subunit ribosomal RNA", at positions 524 to 776 of the family's 1533-position model. The record is from RNAcentral.